AUGAACCUAUCCACACAGCCACGGGGCCAGCCCCCUAGAACAGUACCUUUUGAAUAAAUGUUAUUGAAUACAGCAAUAAAUAACUGAAAAAUUUGUUGAAUGUGUGACAGUUAAACUUUCAUACUUUCUACUGGUAUAUCUAUGGAGCUACUAAUCAAUUAAAUUUGAAGUUGCGAAAAAUUGAUGGAAGGAAAGCUACUGUAAACAUCAGGAUGGGUGAAGUCUUUUCUAUUUUAAAGGCAGUUAACAGUAUCAAACAUUACACCAAGUCUGAGAGUGACACAAUUUCAUAAUUGUAUUGAUCAACAUAUAUUCUUAAAUUUAAUAUUUAUAUAUAUAUACUGUGUAUUUAUUAAAAAUAUAGAGACACCACUAUGUAACUGAUAAGGAAUGAGUUCCAAGAUCUUGAAAAAGAAAAUCAAGUCACAGUAUAGUGACUAGAACAUAAUGCCAUUUGUAUAUAAAAAGAAUAUAUACCCAAUUCUAGAUUCUUCCACCUAUUUUAUAGUGUAGGAAACUAAGUUUUGGAGGGAUUAUGUAAUUUGUCAAAGGUCACAUAUCUGUCCGUCUGUCUAUCUGAAGGUAUUCAUAAUAAGUUAGUGAGACGGGGCCUUCCUGGAGAAGGGACUGGAGAAGUGGAAGGUUAAGGACAGGAAUGAAAGAGACUUCUUAUUUUAUUACUUUUCAUACUUUUUAAUUUGUGUCAUACACAUACAAUGUCUAUUCUACUAAACACAUAAGUAAUUUUUAAAAACUGCUGCUGUAUUUAAAUAGGUUUAUUAUGAUGUGGCAUAGUUUUCUACAAUUGUACUUACUUUUUAAAAUUUUCACUUCCAAUAUUGUCGAGUUAUCCUGUUUGUAUUUUUUUUGAGACUCUCCAAGGGUUUAAGCAAGAAAAUUUUUAGAGUGCUACUUGUAUACUAAUAAUCUUGUUACAAAGUCCAUGUGCAUAUGAAUAAUACAAAUGUAUUUUUAGAAUAAGUGAGGUUGCCUUCGUUCCUGGAAUUGAAUGAAACAUGAGCCUUGACACUAGUAUGUUUGACAAUACAUCUCAGUGAAAGUUUGCCUUCUCAAUUUGAGAUUUUUGAAGGUUGUAAUUAUAAUUUUACGAGGUCCUAAAGGCCUUUUUCCCCUAAAUUUCUUAGACCAAGUGAGUAAGAUAAUUUCCAGAAAUGUCACAAAAAUGCUGUCCCUAUAGUUCACGUUUUAAAAUUACGUUAUGAUUGAAUGUCAUUAGCUACAAGCAAUGAAAAUAACGAUAAAGACAUGAUCCUUAGUGUGAUGUGUGCAGUAUAGUUUUUAAAGAAUACCUCAUGCUGUGUUUUAAUGGGAGUGAAUCUUAACUUGUUUGCUAUGCAUGAAUAUGCUUUCCCAACAAAAAUGUUCCUUUGCUUAUAAAAAUGUUUUUCUCAAGAGUAGUAAAUUUGGAAAUCUAUUUAUGUCCUUCUGCCUACGCAUAUGGCUACCUUGUUCAAAAGAGAUAAAUUCCUGCUGUACUCCAAAAUUGUAAACGUAUUUUGAAAAGUUCUGGAAUGCAUUGAUAAGGAGAAGUACUUGUAAAUAAAUUAUAUAGUCAAUUAUGUAAGGGUUAAUGUUACUUUGAAUGUAACUGGUGUUAAAGAAAAAAAUAUUCUGACACUAGUUAAAACAAAAAGGAAGACUUUAUUCAGGACUAUUGUGAUAGGUAAUCAAGACUAUGGAAAUUGAGGAGAGAGAUGGGGCUUAACUCUGAACACAGUAAACACUGUGAUUUAUAGCCAAGGAGCAGAGGCAGUGGUGGGGAGCGCGGUCAGUGGUCAGUGGAUAGAAAAUUGCUAACAGGAGACUUCAAGAGUAGGGGGAUUCUUACUGAACCAACAUAAUAGAAUUCUUGUUGAAGGCAGGCUAGGGUGAUCUGAUAUUGAGAGAAGGGGAUAAGGAAUUUGAUCAGAUAUCAAGGAUGGGGGGGUAUUCUCACUAAAGUGACUUAGUAAGAUUCUUGCCACAGCUGGGCUAUGCAGGCUCAGCAAGGACAGAAGCCAAAUGAUGAGGCCCAGACAAAAAGAGGGUUCAGAGGAGGCUGUCUAAAGUUUGGUGAUGGGGAGAGUCUUUGUCACCAGCCAGAAUAUGGCAGAUGCAACUGCAAUCAAUAGAAUGUGAGGCAUCCCCAGGCUCUAUUAGCUUCUAGGGCCAUCUGGCCUGGCAGACAUUUUGAGCAUUAACAUUGACUCCCUGCUGCUUUCUUGAGUGGGCUGAGCUUCUUUCAGUAUGCCACGUGCUGACCAUAAGGGGACACCUGACCUUCAGGAAAAUAGGGCAAAGGUCUGCAAGAAGAAACCACUAGAUGUGCCAGCUAAGAGUAAGCAGCAGCUGAGGUUGGGAGCGAGGUUGGUCGGUCCCUGUACAGGUGCUGCACCAUCGGGCUUGCGGACAUUGCAGUUAGCUUGCUGAAGAAAGCAAAUACAUGAAAGGUCUGUAAGUUAAAUCAUGUUGGUGUGCCAUUUCUCUUGAUAUUAUCUACUUUUCACCACCUCUACUCUUGUCUUUGUUUUGAGUUUGCAGUAUAAUUACUCAGAAUAAAAGAGAUAUGACCUCUUGAUGACCUUUCUGAAAAUUACUUGCUUAUAGGUUAGUUUUGCCACCUUUGCAGAUAUUCCUGGGUGAGAACUUUCCAUUUAUCAAUAAUAGUUCUGAAAAUGUCCUUAACACAGUUAUAACCGUAGCUCUACUAAGGUCACAGCAUGGGGACACCGUGACAUUAAGGAGUAGAGGAUUGUCAUCAACAUCUUCUUAAUUCUGGCCUAACGACAGGAUGAUUAUCUUGGAAGUCCUUGAAUGCUUGAGGAAUGGCCAAGACGUAGGUUCUAGACACUUGGACCAGGUUGUAUCUGUGCAGUGGGGAGGUGAGGGGAAAAUUAGGAGAACGAUGCAAGAAAACUCUGGACUACCGAAAUUUAUCCAAGAAACAUUAUAUGGCAACUGAAUUUUUCUGUUCACCUCUUAAGUCCUAAGAAAUGAAGCCCUCCUUGUUUUGUGUUCCCUCAUCACAAAUGUCUGUCUCUCUUCUUCCUCCUUGUCUUCCAAGAGCUCCCUUCUCUGUCUUUCCCUGAGUGAUUCCCGAAGUUCUCAGUGAUGACGGUCCUGAGCUGUGCUGGAGAACAUGGAGAAGUGGGUGGUGCAGCCAGGCCUGGGAGGGGUCUUGCGUCAGACCACAUCUGGGUAAGAUCCACAGCUGCCUCAGCACCACAGCCAGCGUUGUCUAAGGACGGAAAGACCAUAUUGCAGUGAGAACUGUUACCAAAUUGUAAUUGCUACUCUGCAAUCUUGAGAACUGAGAAAUUGUAAAAUUUGAAAAUAAAAGAGAUACUCUUCUUUUUCUACUGAACAUGUCAUCCACUUAACUCAGCUGAGCACGGAGGGAGAAAGCACUGUCAAAACAAAAUUCCUGCUUUCAUUGUGAAGACUUAUCCUUUAAAGAAAAUCGCUCUUCAGAAUCUGACCUUGCUAUCCAAUUUAAGGUGUAUGCUCCUCUCAAGAAAAAAACGUCAGAUGCACGAGGAGCAAUGAUAUUAUUAUAAGACUUAUGGAGACCCACAUGUCCCCUACUUCACCCCACUUGAA
This is a long non-coding RNA of Equus caballus (horse), 3600 nucleotides long. RefSeq lists it as uncharacterized. Lineage: Eukaryota; Metazoa; Chordata; Mammalia; Perissodactyla; Equidae. The record is from RefSeq and is a predicted model, not a curated record.